RNAcentral lists this ribosomal RNA (376 nucleotides) under uncultured eukaryote. Its description in RNAcentral is "partial 18S ribosomal RNA". It matches the Rfam family "Eukaryotic small subunit ribosomal RNA", at positions 592 to 976 of the family's 1831-position model. The record is from RNAcentral.
CAAGAGCGUAUAUUAAAGUUGCUGCGGUUAAAAAGCUCGUAGUUGGAUUUCAGUCUAGGAAGGUUAACUCGCCGAAAGGUUGUACGUCGAUUUUCCUCAGACUUCGUCAGAAGCUCGUGCUGCACUUAACUGUGUGGUACGAUGUUCUGACCUUUUACCUUGAGGAAAGUAGAGUGUUUCAGGCAGGCUACCCAGCUUGAAUACAUUAGCAUGGAAUAAUGAAAUGGAUCUCGGUUCGAUUUCGUUGGUUCUAGAGCUGAGGUGAUGAUCAAUAGGAACAGGCGAAGGUAUUCGUACUUGAGAGUGAGGAGUGAAAUCCGAUGAUCUCUUAAAGACGAUCCGAGGCGAAAGCAUUUGUCAAGGAUGUUUUCAUUGA